Molecule: long non-coding RNA, 424 nt
Filed under: Sorghum bicolor (sorghum)
Lineage: Eukaryota; Viridiplantae; Streptophyta; Magnoliopsida; Poales; Poaceae
Description: long non-coding RNA (SBIC_LNC017263)
Source: RNAcentral
AAGUAUCAAAUUUAAUUAUCAAAUAAACAAAGAAAAAGAUCCAAAUGAAAUCAACAUCCAGACUUAGGGUUUUAUCUGAUAGAAUUCCACGAGUUUUGGUGUUUGUCUAUUUCUGCAGGGGGUUAUCAGGAAAUACGGAAGAAUGGCCCACACGUCGGGAUUACAUAGAGAUAUCAACGUGCCACGCAAUUAUCUUACAUCUAGAAGACUCCAGAAGCCACGGGAAGGAAGCAGAGGCCGAACGGGGCCAGGCACUGGGCGCCUGCCCAGUUGACCUGGGCGCCCGCCCCCUCCUAGAGUCCAAACAGGACUCUCUUUCUGGAAUUGGGCGCCCGCCCAGUUCGUGAUAGUGACAGCUUCAUUGAUUCUUAUAUAGUCCCCCUCUCAUGUAUUGAGCUGGCAGAGCAAUAUUAUUACAGGGGAG